Gossypium arboreum is the source of this 107-nucleotide non-coding RNA. The record is from Rfam. NCBI's taxonomy places the organism in Eukaryota, Viridiplantae, Streptophyta, Magnoliopsida, Malvales, Malvaceae.
AACCCAUGGUGAGGGCUCCUUCUCAGAAGAUCAUUGUAUCUCUCCCAUGCAUCAUAGAGUGUUUCUAGAUCCAUCCGCACAAAAGAAGAGAUGUUAUUCCUCAACUU